CCUACGGGUGGCAGCAGUGGGGAAUAUUGGGCAAUGGGCGCAAGCCUGACCCAGCAACGCCGCGUGAGGGAAGAAGGCUUUCGGGUUGUAAACUUCUUUUAAGGGGGACGAACAAAUGACGGUACCCCUUGAAUAAGCCACGGCUAACUACGUGCCAGCAGCCGCGGUAAUACGUAGGUGGCAAGCGUUAUCCGGAUUUAUUGGGUGUAAAGCGCUCGUAGGCGGUAUGUCAAGUCAAGGGUGAAAUCCCCGCGCUCAACGUGGGAACUGCCUUUGAAACUGGCAAACUGGAGUGUGUGAGAGGAUAGUGGAAUUCCAGGUGUAGGAGUGAAAUCCGUAGAUAGCUGGAGGAACAUCAGUGGCGAAGGCGACUAUCUGGCACAUAACUGACGCUGAGGAGCGAAAGCGUGGGUAGCAAACAGGAUUAGAUACCCGGGUAGUC
This 442-nucleotide ribosomal RNA is filed under the name uncultured bacterium. RNAcentral's name for it is "partial 16S ribosomal RNA". It matches the Rfam family "Bacterial small subunit ribosomal RNA", at positions 338 to 795 of the family's 1533-position model. The record is from RNAcentral.